RNAcentral lists this ribosomal RNA (765 nucleotides) under uncultured Streptococcus sp. RNAcentral describes it as "bacterial SSU rRNA". It matches the Rfam family "Bacterial small subunit ribosomal RNA", at positions 28 to 776 of the family's 1533-position model. The record is from RNAcentral. Lineage: Bacteria; Bacillati; Bacillota; Bacilli; Lactobacillales; Streptococcaceae.
GACGAACGCUGGCGGCGUGCCUAAUACAUGCAAGUAGAACGCUGAGGUUUGGUGUUUACACUAGACUGAUGAGUUGCGAACGGGUGAGUAACGCGUAGGUAACCUGCCUCAUAGCGGGGGAUAACUAUUGGAAACGAUAGCUAAUACCGCAUAAGAGUAAUUAACACAUGUUGGUUAUUUAAAAGGAGCAAUUGCUUCACUGUGAGAUGGACCUGCGUUGUAUUAGCUAGUUGGUGAGGUAAAGGCUCACCAAGGCGACGAUACAUAGCCGACCUGAGAGGGUGAUCGGCCACACUGGGACUGAGACACGGCCCAGACUCCUACGGGAGGCAGCAGUAGGGAAUCUUCGGCAAUGGACGGAAGUCUGACCGAGCAACGCCGCGUGAGUGAAGAAGGUUUUCGGAUCGUAAAGCUCUGUUGUUAGAGAAGAACGUUGGUAGGAGUGGAAAAUCUACCAAGUGACGGUAACUAACCAGAAAGGGACGGCUAACUACGUGCCAGCAGCCGCGGUAAUACGUAGGUCCCGAGCGUUGUCCGGAUUUAUUGGGCGUAAAGCGAGCGCAGGCGGUUCUUUAAGUCUGAAGUUAAAGGCAGUGGCUUAACCAUUGUACGCUUUGGAAACUGGAGGACUUGAGUGCAGAAGGGGAGAGUGGAAUUCCAUGUGUAGCGGUGAAAUGCGUAGAUAUAUGGAGGAACACCGGUGGCGAAAGCAGCUCUCUGGUCUGUAACUGACGCUGAGGCUCGAAAGCGUGGGGAGCAAACAGG